GUAGGGAAUAUUGCACAAUGGAGGAAACUCUGAUGCAGCGACGCCGCGUGAGUGACGAAGGCCUUCGGGUUGUAAAGCUCUGUUCUUAGGGAAAAAGAAAGUGAUUGUACCUAAGGAGAAAGGACCGGCUAACUUCGUGCCAGCAGCCGCGGUAAGACGAGGGGUCCAAGCGUUGUUCGGAAUUAUUGGGCGUAAAGCGGGUGUAGGUGGCUCUAUAAGUCAGGAGUGAAAUCCCCGAGCUUAACUUGGGAAGUGCUUUUGAUACUGCAGAGCUUGAGUGUGGGAGAGGAUCGUAGAAUUCCUGGUGUAGUGGUGAAAUACGUAGAUAUCAGGAGGAAUACCGGUGGCGAAGGCGGCGAUCUGGCCCAACACUGACACUGAGACCCGAAAGCGUGGGGAUCAAACAGGAUUAGAAACCCCAGUAGUCC
Molecule: ribosomal RNA, 428 nt
Filed under: uncultured bacterium
Lineage: Bacteria
Description: bacterial SSU rRNA
Rfam family: Bacterial small subunit ribosomal RNA
Source: RNAcentral